GGGUUGUGAGGUUAAGCGACUAAGCGUACACGGUGGAUGCCCUGGCAGUCAGAGGCGAUGAAGGGCGUGCUAAUCUGCGAUAAGCGCCGGUAAGGUGAUAUGAACCGUUAUAACCGGCGAUACCCGAAUGGGGAAACCCAGUGUGACUCGUCACACUAUCAUUAACUGAAUCCAUAGGUUAAUGAGGCGAACCGGGGGAACUGAAACAUCUAAGUACCCCGAGGAAAAGAAAUCAACCGAGAUUCCCCCAGUAGCGGCGAGCGAACGGGGAGGAGCCCAGAGCCUGAAUCAGCAUGUGUGUUAGUGGAAGCGUCUGGAAAGGCGCGCGAUACAGGGUGACAGCCCCGUACACAAAAGCGCAUGUGCUGUGAGCUCGAUGAGUAGGGCGGGACACGUGGUAUCCUGUCUGAAUAUGGGGGGACCAUCCUCCAAGGCUAAAUACUCCUGACUGACCGAUAGUGAACCAGUACCGUGAGGGAAAGGCGAAAAGAACCCCGGCGAGGGGAGUGAAAAAGAACCUGAAACCGUGUACGUACAAGCAGUGGGAGCACAGGUUUACCUGUGUGACUGCGUACCUUUUGUAUAAUGGGUCAGCGACUUAUAUUCUGUAGCAAGGUUAACCGAAUAGGGGAGCCGGAGGGAAACCGAGUCUUAACCGGGCGUUAAGUUGCAGGGUAUAGACCCGAAACCCGGUGAUCUAGCCAUGGGCAGGUUGAAGGUUGGGUAACACUAACUGGAGGACCGAACCGACUAAUGUUGAAAAAUUAGCGGAUGACCUGUGGCUGGGGGUGAAAGGCCAAUCAAACCGGGAGAUAGCUGGUUCUCCCCGAAAGCUAUUUAGGUAGCGCCUCGUGAAUUCAUCUCCGGGGGUAGAGCACUGUUUCGGCUAGGGGGCCAUCCCGGCUUACCAACCCGAUGCAAACUGCGAAUACCGGAGAAUGUUAUCACGGGAGACACACGGCGGGUGCUAACGUCCGUCGUGAAGAGGGAAACAACCCAGACCGCCAGCUAAGGUCCCAAAGUCAUGGUUAAGUGGGAAACGAUGUGGGAAGGCCCAGACAGCCAGGAUGUUGGCUUAGAAGCAGCCAUCAUUUAAAGAAAGCGUAAUAGCUCACUGGUCGAGUCGGCCUGCGCGGAAGAUGUAACGGGGCUAAACCAUGCACCGAAGCUGCGGCAGCGAACGUAUCACUUAAAGCGAUUCAGCGGGUUACGAUUGACGGAGCGAAGCGACGUCAAAGCGUAUACAAAGUCGAGUCGGUUUAAGGAUACGUUCGUUGGGUAGGGGAGCGUUCUGUAAGCCUGUGAAGGUGUGUCGUGAGGCAUGCUGGAGGUAUCAGAAGUGCGAAUGCUGACAUAAGUAACGAUAAAGCGGGUGAAAAGCCCGCUCGCCGGAAGACCAAGGGUUCCUGUCCAACGUUAAUCGGGGCAGGGUGAGUCGACCCCUAAGGCGAGGCCGAAAGGCGUAGUCGAUGGGAAACGGGUUAAUAUUCCCGUACUUGGUGUUACUGCGAAGGGGGGACGGAGAAGGCUAUGUUGGCCGGGCGACGGUUGUCCCGGUUUAAGCGUGUAGGCUGGUUUUCCAGGCAAAUCCGGAAAAUCAAGGCUGAGGCGUGAUGACGAGGCACUACGGUGCUGAAGCAACAAAUGCCCUGCUUCCAGGAAAAGCCUCUAAGCAUCAGGUAACAUCAAAUCGUACCCCAAACCGACACAGGUGGUCAGGUAGAGAAUACCAAGGCGCUUGAGAGAACUCGGGUGAAGGAACUAGGCAAAAUGGUGCCGUAACUUCGGGAGAAGGCACGCUGACACGUAGGUGAAGUGAUUUACUCAUGGAGCUGAAGUCAGUCGAAGAUACCAGCUGGCUGCAACUGUUUAUUAAAAACACAGCACUGUGCAAACACGAAAGUGGACGUAUACGGUGUGACGCCUGCCCGGUGCCGGAAGGUUAAUUGAUGGGGUCAGCGCAAGCGAAGCUCCUGAUCGAAGCCCCGGUAAACGGCGGCCGUAACUAUAACGGUCCUAAGGUAGCGAAAUUCCUUGUCGGGUAAGUUCCGACCUGCACGAAUGGCGUAAUGAUGGCCAGGCUGUCUCCACCCGAGACUCAGUGAAAUUGAACUCGCUGUGAAGAUGCAGUGUACCCGCGGCAAGACGGAAAGACCCCGUGAACCUUUACUAUAGCUUGACACUGAACAUUGAGCCUUGAUGUGUAGGAUAGGUGGGAGGCUUUGAAGCGUGGACGCCAGUCUGCGUGGAGCCGACCUUGAAAUACCACCCUUUAAUGUUUGAUGUUCUAACGUGGACCCGUGAUCCGGGUUGCGGACAGUGUCUGGUGGGUAGUUUGACUGGGGCGGUCUCCUCCUAAAGAGUAACGGAGGAGCACGAAGGUUGGCUAAUCCUGGUCGGACAUCAGGAGGUUAGUGCAAUGGCAUAAGCCAGCUUGACUGCGAGCGUGACGGCGCGAGCAGGUGCGAAAGCAGGUCAUAGUGAUCCGGUGGUUCUGAAUGGAAGGGCCAUCGCUCAACGGAUAAAAGGUACUCCGGGGAUAACAGGCUGAUACCGCCCAAGAGUUCAUAUCGACGGCGGUGUUUGGCACCUCGAUGUCGGCUCAUCACAUCCUGGGGCUGAAGUAGGUCCCAAGGGUAUGGCUGUUCGCCAUUUAAAGUGGUACGCGAGCUGGGUUUAGAACGUCGUGAGACAGUUCGGUCCCUAUCUGCCGUGGGCGCUGGAGAACUGAGGGGGCUGCUCCUAGUACGAGAGGACCGGAGUGGACGCAUCACUGGUGUUCGGGUUGUCAUGCCAAUGGCACUGCCCGGUAGCUAAAUGCGGAAGAGAUAAGUGCUGAAAGCAUCUAAGCACGAAACUUGCCCCGAGAUGAGUUCUCCCUGAGACUUAAAGUCUCCUGAAGGAACGUUGAAGACGACGACGUUGAUAGGCCGGGUGUGUAAGCGCAGCGAUGCGUUGAGCUAACCGGUACUAAUGAACCGUGAGGCUUAACCUUACAACGCCGAAG
This 3007-nucleotide ribosomal RNA is filed under the name Salmonella enterica subsp. enterica serovar Infantis. RNAcentral's name for it is "23S ribosomal RNA". It matches the Rfam family "Bacterial large subunit ribosomal RNA". The record is from RNAcentral. Lineage: Bacteria; Pseudomonadati; Pseudomonadota; Gammaproteobacteria; Enterobacterales; Enterobacteriaceae. RNAcentral also lists the same sequence under 1 other name.